This 1438-nucleotide ribosomal RNA is filed under the name metagenome. RNAcentral's name for it is "bacterial LSU rRNA". It matches the Rfam family "Bacterial large subunit ribosomal RNA", at positions 1345 to 2911 of the family's 2925-position model. The record is from RNAcentral.
CCAAAGGGUUCCUGCGUAAAGUUAAUCUUCGCAGGGUUAGCCGGCUCCUAAGGCGAGGCCGAAGGGCGUAGUCGAUGGGAACGGGGUUAAUAUUCCCCGGCCAGCGGAUGGUGACGAAUCCCGUGUAUUGUCAGGUCUUAACGGAUUGAUCUGGCAGUGAAGGGGUUCCAGGAAACAGCCCCGCGCAUGACCGUACCCGAAACCGACACAGGUGGACUGGUAGAGUAUACCAAGGCGCUUGAGAGAACUCUGCUGAAGGAACUCGGCAAAUUGCCUCCGUAACUUCGGGAUAAGGAGGCCCCGGUUGUGGGCAACCAUGAUCGGGGGGCACAAGCCAGGGGGUGGCGACUGUUUAACAAAAACACAGGGCUCUGCGAAGUCAUGAAGACGACGUAUAGGGUCUGACGCCUGCCCGGUGCCGGAAGGUUAAGAGGAGAGGUGCAAGCUUUGAAUCGAAGCCCCGGUAAACGGCGGCCGUAACAAUAACGGUCCUAAGGUAGCGAAAUUCCUUGUCGGGUAAGUUCCGACCUGCGCGAGGGCGUAACGACUUCCCCGCUGUCUCCAGCAGAGACUCAGUGAAAUUGAAUUCCCCGUGAAGAUGCGGGGUUCCUGCGGUUAGACGGAAAGACCCCGUGCACCUUUACUGCAACUUUGCGCUGGCAUUCGUGUCGGCAUGUGUAGGAUAGGUGGUAGGCAUUGAAGCGGGGGCGCCAGCCUUCGUGGAGCCAACCUUGAAAUACCACCCUUAUCGUCAUGGAUGUCUAACUGCGGUUCGACAGGAUCCAGGACAGCGCAUGGUGGGCAGUUUGACUGGGGCGGUCGCCUCCCAAAGAGUAACGGAGGCGCGCGAUGGUGGGCUCAGAGCGGUCGGAAAUCGCUCGUCGAGUGCAAUGGCAUAAGCCUGCCUGACUGCGAGACAGACAAGUCGAGCAGAGACGAAAGUCGGCCAUAGUGAUCCGGUGGUCCCGCGUGGAAGGGCCAUCACUCAACGGAUAAAAGGUACGCCGGGGAUAACAGGCUGAUCUUCCCCAAGAGUCCAUAUCGACGGGAAGGUUUGGCACCUCGAUGUCGACUCAUCACAUCCUGGGGCUGGAGCAGGUCCCAAGGGUUCGGCUGUUCGCCGAUUAAAGUGGUACGUGAGUUGGGUUCAGAACGUCGUGAGACAGUUCGGUCCCUAUCUGCCGUGGGAGUUCGAGACUUGAGACGAUCUGUCCUUAGUACGAGAGGACCGGGAUGGACGCACCACUGGUGGACCUGUUGUCCUGCCAAGGGCAGUGCAGGGUAGCUAUGUGCGGACGGGAUAACCGCUGAAGGCAUCUAAGCGGGAAACCCACGUCAAAACAAGGUCUCGCAAAAUAGAGCCGUGGUAGACGACCACGUCGAUAGGCCGGGUGUGUAAGGGCAGUAAUGUCUUCAGCUUACCGGUACUAAUAGCUCC